Molecule: ribosomal RNA, 217 nt
Filed under: uncultured bacterium
Lineage: Bacteria
Description: partial 16S ribosomal RNA
Rfam family: Bacterial small subunit ribosomal RNA
Source: RNAcentral
GAAAGACCUGUCUCAGUUCGGAUUGGAGUCUGCAACCCGACUCCAUGAAGCUGGAUUCGCUAGUAAUCGCGCAUCAGCCACGGCGCGGUGAAUACGUUCCCGGGCCUUGUACACACCGCCCGUCAAGCCAUGGAAGCCGGGGGUGCCUGAAGUGCGCUGCCGCAAGGAGCGCCCUAGGGUAAAACCGGUGACUGGGGCUAAGUCGUAACAAGGUAGC